This 378-nucleotide ribosomal RNA is filed under the name uncultured eukaryote. RNAcentral describes it as "partial 18S ribosomal RNA". It matches the Rfam family "Eukaryotic small subunit ribosomal RNA", at positions 592 to 975 of the family's 1831-position model. The record is from RNAcentral.
CAAUAGCGUAUAUUAAAGUUGUUGCGGUUAAAAAGCUCGUAGUUGGAUUUCUGCUGAGAACGACCGGUCCGCCCUCUGGGUGUGUAUCUGGCUCUGUCUUGGCAUCUUCUUGGUGAACGAUGCUGCACUUGACUGUGUGGAGCGCUACCCAGGACUUUUACUUUGAGUAAAUUAGAGUGUUCAAAGCAAGCCUACGCUCUGAAUAUAUUAGCAUGGAAUAACACGAUAGGACUCUGGCUUAUCUUGUUGGUCUGUGAGACCAGAGUAAUGAUUAAGAGGGACAGUCGGGGACAUUCGUAUUUCAUUGUCAGAGGUGAAAUUCUUGGAUUUAUGAAAGACGAACUUCUGCGAAAGCAUUUGUCAAGGAUGUUUUCAUUA